RNAcentral lists this ribosomal RNA (252 nucleotides) under uncultured bacterium. RNAcentral's name for it is "partial 16S ribosomal RNA". It matches the Rfam family "Bacterial small subunit ribosomal RNA", at positions 524 to 776 of the family's 1533-position model. The record is from RNAcentral.
UACGUAGGGGGCAAGCGUUAUCCGGAAUUACUGGGUGUAAAGGGUGCGUAGGUGGUUUCUUAAGUCAGAGGUGAAAGGCUACGGCUCAACCGUAGUAAGCCUUUGAAACUGGGAAACUUGAGUGCAGGAGAGGAGAGUGGAAUUCCUAGUGUAGCGGUGAAAUGCGUAGAUAUUAGGAGGAACACCAGUUGCGAAGGCGGCUCUCUGGACUGUAACUGACACUGAGGCACGAAAGCGUGGGGAGCAAACAGG